UCGAUCGUCUGUCCCGCACCUCCCGCGCCUGGAUCCCCACCUCCCUCGCCUCCAUCCCCAACCCACCGGCGACCCCCUUCCCCACCCGCAGCCAGUGCUCCACCCCGCCCCGGACCCCAUCCCCCGCCGUAGGUGCCCCGCCCCAACUCUCUCGCACCCUCCGGCAUCCCCCCACCCCCGCCGCCCCCGUCAACACCAGCCGCCGGAACGUCCCCAAUGGCGACGGGGUCGACCGCCUCCCCGGUCGCGCGCCCACGCGUUUCCUUACGGCCACCGCCCCGCCGCCCGCGUUCCCCUCCGGUAGGCCGCAGCGCGCCCCGCCCUCCCUCCGGCCACCCGCCCCCAGCGACGACGGGGUCGACCGCCUCCUGGGUCUCACGCCCCCGCGUUUUCUUCCGGCGACCGCCCCGUCGCCCGCGUUCCCCUCCGGCAGGCCGCAGCACGCCCCGCCCUCCCUCCGGCCACCCGCCCCCAGCCUCCGGCCAACUCCAUUACCUCCGCUGGGCACCGCUCCCCCUAUCCUCGACCUCUCUCACCGCACCGGAGCAGGAUCCUGGUAGCACGACGCGACCAGCGACGCACGGCGGUGCCUGUGUCUUCUCUGCUCAUGCUCUUUUUUUCUUUCUGAUGCAAAAGGCUAUGGUCAAGUUCAUGGUGAGAACCGGUUGUGUUCUUCCUCAUGGCCAGAGCUCGUCCGGUGAUGUAGGAGAUAGAUGGAGCCCCAACCGUGUGGUCUAAUUCCUCAUGGGGUUUCUGGAGCCACUUUUUUUGCAGCUCAACAUUGGUAUACUUUAGAAGUUCAUCUACUAACUGAUCGAGGUGUUUCCAUCCGCCUCCUGCCUUGCAUCUCUAGUACGUGACCUGCUCCGGCACCUCUGAUCGACCUUCCCCGUCGUCGCUUGCUUGAACAUGUGAACCUCUGCUGCUCCAUGUAAAUCUGCCUGCUGCACUACUACGGUUGCUCUAUGUUGUGCCCUUUUGCUGGUUGAAGUUGUUGUUAUUUGCUAGCUUUUCCAUAGGCUACUGCACUUGGAUCUUGAAAUCAAUUUCAUCGGUUAUGUGCGUGCUUGGACUGACAACAUUAGGCCAUAGAAAAAAAUGGAUGCUCCUCGACUACUAAUUCCAUGGCUGCCUCAGCUCUACUCGCUCAAGCGACGAUAACUUUGAUGUUUGUUUCUACAAUAUUGUUUGCAAGUCAGUAUUGUUGGUAUGGAUGCUUCUCUGUUGUUCAUCUUGUAGUAUGUUAAAGAAGAAUCAUGAAUGAUUGGGUCUACAUCUGCAUAAAAGAGAGUCCCUUUCCGAGUUUUGAUCCGUUAGUUAAUUUCAUAUGUAUGUUGUUAAAAAAGAAUUAAUCGUGUAGAAUGUGAAAAACUGAGAUUAGAGUUGUAUUUUUUCUGCUGAAUUUUUUCACAAUGUUUCUUGGUUAUCAAGUAAGUGUUCUUUCAUUGUUUUCAUCAAUUUCCUAAUUGAUGGAAAAGCUUGCUGCUACUCGCGUCCAGUGUUGUGUACUGUGCUCCUCUAUCUAAAGCUUGUACAGCGUGCCAGAGCAAAAAAUGGGAAGGCACUAAUCUGAAGUUCAGAUAUGAUAAAGAAAGAAGUCGUGCGAUCUCGGAUCUAGUGAUUUUCCACAAGCUAUGGCCCCUUUCCCUGAUGCAUAAACGCGGACGGCCGCCCUGCAACAUACCUCUUUCUCCCGCUGCUCCAGCAAGCAAGCUCCUAGCGUCGCUCCUCCAGCCUGCGACCUUCCGUGCCACGUCUCCACCGGGCGUUGCUACCUCCCGGCCAUAUGAAUGGCGUUGCCGAAGUCCACAUUGUACUACACCAGAAGGACGACUCCUAUAGGUCGUGCCAAUCGUCUUUCUUCCACCGUCCAUGGUCGCCAUCGCCGUUAAUAAAGUUGUACUCGAUCCAUGUGUACUAUGUUUGCCAUACGUGCUUGAUGCAUUCGAGCGCCCCACGCAGUGCUCCAGGGAAGUAGCUGGAGGCAGGAGCUAGCUGCGCACUUGCUGAUUUUGUCAUAGCCUAGUGGUUGUUAACCAAGCUAAGCAGGUCAUGUUUGUGUCAGCUAGAAGAACCAGUGUGAGGCGUUACGUAGAGCUUGUCGGUUUGACUGAGUUAGAUGUACCAGGAUGGGAGAUGCGAGUGUUCUUUACUUGUGAGUUUAUUAUAA
This is a long non-coding RNA of Triticum urartu, 2170 nucleotides long. RefSeq lists it as uncharacterized. The record is from RefSeq and is a predicted model, not a curated record. Lineage: Eukaryota; Viridiplantae; Streptophyta; Magnoliopsida; Poales; Poaceae.